This is a non-coding RNA of Arachis ipaensis, 201 nucleotides long. NCBI's taxonomy places the organism in Eukaryota, Viridiplantae, Streptophyta, Magnoliopsida, Fabales, Fabaceae. The record is from RefSeq and is a predicted model, not a curated record.
UGGUAUUUCCUCUCAAACUUCAGAAUUUGUGGCUUUUGAACAAUUAUAUGGGGAAAUAUUUGGAUAAGGAUCUGUAGGUGUUAGGCUAGACGGGUAAUAAGCAAGAAUAGGGACAAAAAAUAGUAGGAUGCAACAACUGAUGAAAAACUAUGUAAGAAUUAGAAAAGGGCAAUAUAUUACUUUUUCUCAACUGUUCAAAAA